GCAUUGGUGGUAUAGUGGUGAGUCUAGCUAUCUUUCAAGCAGUUGACCAGGGUUGGAUUCCUGGCCAAUGUA
Molecule: transfer RNA, 72 nt
Filed under: Pelodiscus sinensis (Chinese soft-shelled turtle)
Lineage: Eukaryota; Metazoa; Chordata; Testudines; Trionychidae
Rfam family: tRNA
About the family: Transfer RNA (tRNA) molecules are approximately 80 nucleotides in length. Their secondary structure includes four short double-helical elements and three loops (D, anti-codon, and T loops).
Source: Rfam by way of RNAcentral